This is a long non-coding RNA of Gossypium arboreum, 664 nucleotides long. RefSeq lists it as uncharacterized. The record is from RefSeq and is a predicted model, not a curated record. The transcript is spliced from 2 exons. Lineage: Eukaryota; Viridiplantae; Streptophyta; Magnoliopsida; Malvales; Malvaceae.
AAAUGGCCCAAACCCCUUUGAAUUAAAUUACUAUCUUCUUUAGAAAUACCCCCAUAUCCGCUUGACUCCCUUCUUUCCCUUUCUCAAACCCCCCAUCAGCUGCAGCAAGGCCACCGCCUGAGACCUCUCCCCUGAUUAACGGCGAGAAUUGAGAUCCCAACGGGUCCUUUCCUAUUUUUGCAGCCUCAUUAACUCGAGAAUCAUGUGAUCCCCAUCCUCUCCGGCAACUUCAUCAGAUGCUACCACUGCGUCAGCCUCCGUUCUUUCCAAGACUGCCUCUGGCCUCUCUAAAACUGCGUCAACUCCCACCGACAGACACAGCUCUUUUACAUGCCCAUAUUUCCCAUAGUUAAGACCGUCGGAAGAGAUUCGUAUUCAACCCGUUGAACUUCCCCAUCCACCAAGACCUUAGAGAUGAGUGGUCGGUCGAGGUUGACGAACACGGCCAAACAGGAAAAUCGCCCCCAGGAGUCCCGGUAGACAAAUCCACGCCAACACCACACUAGGGUAAGGCUGUGCUGGAUUGAACGAUUUCGUCCAAGGUUAUACAGUGAGGUAUUGCCCAAAAAUUAUCCAAGGACCUUGAGUUAAGACUUUGUUAUAAUCCUUCAUGUCCUGAAAUUUAACAAAAAAAUAACCAUUAGUGAUGUCCAUUAGAUGAAAA